CGCACAUCGAUACCUAUACAAUAUAUAUCCUAUUAUCUUAUAUUCAGUAUACUAGCUUUCAGUAAUUAGGUAAUUAAUCAUUUUAUUUUAUUAUAUCACUUGGAUACAAAUAUACAAUAUAUCGGUAUGAUUAUAUGUUUUUUAAGCUCAAAGUUGAAUUUCAGUACUUAUAGCUUAUAUACCUACCAAGAACAACUGCGGAAAAAGCCAAAAGAUACGAUUCCCCGUGUGGCAUGUAUAUAGUACAAAAGCAUUACGGGUAAGAUAUAUCGGUCAGCCAUUUUCUACGGUACUUCGAUCAGAUUGCCCUUUAUAUGCAGAUACCUACAGUAUGUCACUAUAUAUUAUUCGAUGAAUAUACUAAAAUUUUUAAAGUGAGAUUCAGCUGACAACGCCGUAAAACUCCAAAGAGGACUGAGAAAACUCAUCUGUAAUUGUAAUUGCGCAUCACACAAUUUGUUGAUGCGGCGUGUGAAUAAAAAUAACAUUAUAUACA
Myzus persicae (green peach aphid) is the source of this 496-nucleotide long non-coding RNA. RefSeq lists it as uncharacterized. The transcript has 2 exons. NCBI's taxonomy places the organism in Eukaryota, Metazoa, Arthropoda, Insecta, Hemiptera, Aphididae. The record is from RefSeq and is a predicted model, not a curated record.